GUGAGUUUCUUCCAUGGCCGGACCUCAAUGCCACAAGCCGCUGCUCCGGCGAGGCCUUGGCCGCAAGGACGACGCGGUCCCCCACCUUCAUAUACUCCGAUGAAGCCAAACGCUGGGAUUCCUCCUGAACCGCAAGUUGAUAGAUGCGGCCGAGCGUGGGGACGGGUUCCAUGGCCAAGAUCUGGCUCCGAAACGGAUGUUGGUGUGCGGAAGUGAUGCUGUGCAGAAGCUAGGUUAUGUAGGAAGGCUCUGAUACCAUGUCAGAAGUUUAGAGGAUGGAAAGCGAUUGAAGAUUGGAAUUGUGUAUUGCUUUUCAUAUCAAACAAAGUGUAAUUACAGCCCUAUUUAUAGUACAAGAAGUCUAGAUGAUUAGGGAAAGAAAAUAUACAAAAUAGAGAAUAAAAGAUUCCCUAAGAUUGCCUGAUAUGCAAUAUUCUAAUUUUCCACCAAUACACCAUUCAAGAUCAAUUAAGAUCAAUCAGCAUCGGCAA
Syzygium oleosum is the source of this 491-nucleotide long non-coding RNA. RefSeq lists it as uncharacterized. The record is from RefSeq and is a predicted model, not a curated record. Lineage: Eukaryota; Viridiplantae; Streptophyta; Magnoliopsida; Myrtales; Myrtaceae. The transcript is spliced from 2 exons.